CCCUUAGAUGUCCUGGGCCGCACGCGCGCUACACUGAACGGAUCAGCGCGUUUUCCCUUCCCGAGAGGGACGGGUAACCUGCUGAACCCCGUUCGUGGUAGGGAUCGGGGCUUGCAAUUAUUCCCCGUGAACCAGGAAUGCCCAGUAAGUGCAAGUCAUAAGCUUGCGUUGAUUACGUCCCUGCCCUUUGUACACACCGCCCGUCGCUACUACCGAUUGAACGGUCCGGUGAAAUCUCGGGACGGCGGCUUGGUCGCUUGCGUCCGACUGCUGAAACUUGAUUAAACCAUAUCAUUUAGAGGAAGGUGAAGUCGUAACA
This 319-nucleotide ribosomal RNA is filed under the name uncultured eukaryote. RNAcentral describes it as "partial 18S ribosomal RNA". It matches the Rfam family "Eukaryotic small subunit ribosomal RNA", at positions 1470 to 1796 of the family's 1831-position model. The record is from RNAcentral.